Molecule: non-coding RNA, 108 nt
Filed under: uncultured Succinivibrio sp.
Lineage: Bacteria; Pseudomonadati; Pseudomonadota; Gammaproteobacteria; Aeromonadales; Succinivibrionaceae
Source: RNAcentral
AACUGAAUUUGUGAUCUGUUGGAAGUGAAGUUGUUUUAUUUAAUCACAAAGGAGCAAUAAAUGUUAACAGUAGCUGACAAAGCAAAAAUCGUAGCUGAAUUUGGUCGC